This 571-nucleotide long non-coding RNA is filed under the name Mytilus galloprovincialis (Mediterranean mussel). The record is from RNAcentral. Lineage: Eukaryota; Metazoa; Mollusca; Bivalvia; Mytilida; Mytilidae.
CUGAAAAUGCAUCACAUGAUAUAGCCGACUUUGAUAAACCUUUCAGAAAUCCUUGUAAUGUAGUUCAUGAAAAAGAUGCAACGAAAAUAUUCAUGGGACAGACGGACGAACUGAGAACGCUGACUGACUGACGGAUGGACGGUUGGACGGACGGACAGAGAGAGGUAAAACAGUAUACCCCCACUUUUUCGAAUCGGCGGUAUAAUGAUUGGGUCAACAUUAAGCUUAAUACUAAAAUUUAUGAUAAAAGAGAUGAUUUUUCAUUUCCUAUCGUUAAUUAUCCAUUUUUAGAUGGUGACGUUCCCUUGUCACCAUCUUACGGUGUUUAUAUAUCUCAACUUUUACGUUUCGCUCGUGUAUGUAACAACAUUUUAGAUUUUAACGAGAGACAUUCAUGUAUGACUGAAAAAUCAUUACACCAGGGUUUUCAAUAUCACAAACUUGUCAAAACAUUUACUAAAUUUUAUCAUCGGUACAAGGACAUCAUUCGAAAAUAGAACUCAACAUGCAGACUUUUUAUACGUUCAGAUAUUUCGCAUCCAAUCUUUUAUGGUAAUAUUCUUUAUAAAGC